GUGUUGUAUGAAAGGUUAGCCCUCCCCUUGACAAGGAUAGAAGAGGCCCUGGGGCCUGACAACACACAGAGUUCCUGGCAUCUCACUAUGUUUGUAUCUUCUUCUCACUGUAUUCUAAACAAUUUUUUUU
Cebus imitator (Panamanian white-faced capuchin) is the source of this 130-nucleotide small nuclear RNA. The record is from Ensembl. Lineage: Eukaryota; Metazoa; Chordata; Mammalia; Primates; Cebidae.